RNAcentral lists this transfer RNA (73 nucleotides) under Bipes biporus. RNAcentral's name for it is "tRNA-Leu". It matches the Rfam family "tRNA". From Rfam's summary of the family: Transfer RNA (tRNA) molecules are approximately 80 nucleotides in length. The record is from RNAcentral. Lineage: Eukaryota; Metazoa; Chordata; Lepidosauria; Squamata; Bipedidae.
AUUAAGGUGGCAGAGUCGAUACAUGCAAAAGGCCUAAGCCCUUUACACAGGGGUUCAACUCCCCUCCUUAACA